AAUAAAAUUGCUUUUUCAAUGUCAUACUUCAUUGUCGUUGACAACUUUACCCCUAUGUUUUCAAAUGUUUUCUGCAUCUACUACAGCUGGAGGGAAAUUGUUAAAACAUUUAGUUUCCGCUCCCGCCACUUCUCUCUCGUAUCCGCGAGAGAUUCGAUCAAUCACCGUCCCUUCCUUCUACUGCUACAACUACUUUGGAGAUACAGGGCUCGACUUUUGUUUCCUAUGGCGAAAUCUAAAGAAGAGGAGGAAGAAGAAGAGAAAUCAAACGGACUUGAAAUAGUUUCAAUCGGAUCUCUAUACACUGGAAUCUGGGAUAAGAAGUACUGGAGUUCUUCUAGGGGUAAAGAUCGCUAUCCUUAUCCUGUUGGAUAUCAAGCUCGUCGAGCUUAUCAUGGAAGCACUUAUAAGAUGGAAAUUCAGGAAGGUCCUAAAGGACCAUUAUUUCUGAUUACUUCUGCUGGUGGACAUUCCUGUUCUGGGCAAACGCCAGAUAUUGCAUGGGAGAAAUUUCAGAAGAAAGGUUGCUCACGCAUGAAGAUCUGGCAUGGAAAAAGAUAUUCUUGCAAGAUAGAUGGCAUAGAGUUCUUUGGGUUUAGAAAUCCGUUAGUCCAAAGGUUACUUCGGGAGCUGGUGGCAAAUGUCAAUGGAAUAGCAGAACAGAGCCUGUUAGCUUCCAUUUUCUGCAAUGGAGCUUCCAAUAUAGAACCCAGUAAUCAAUACCAAGAUCCAAGCACAUCUUCUGAUCUGUUAUCACAUUUGGCAAGAUCACAUGUUACAGGGAAAAGAAGCAAGAGGUGUGAAUUAAUAAAUCCGAAGCCAUCUAGAAUUGAUGGUCUUAAGAGACUUUGUGCUGGAGAUUCAUCACAUGGGAGUCAUAAGCAAAGAACUUCUUUGCCUUCCUCUACAUUUAGUUUUAAUGAAAUGCAUGACUCUUGCAUGCUUCCAGGAGCAGUGCCAGCAGGACUGCAAUUAAAUUCUGCAACUGGAAAAGAAAAUGCUCAAUCUUCAGCCAAAGAUGAUUUGCUUUUGGAAUCUGUUCACUACCCUAAUCAUCUUAUGGAGAAAGCUGUAUCUUCCUAUGAAGAGAGCAAGCUUGCUGGUUCUGAAAAUAAUGAAUCCAACACUGCAGUCAGCAACUCCUGCUUAGAAGAAAAACCUCUUGAUAGGUUGCAAGAUACUGAAGUGAAAGAAUCAAAUUUUGCAGCAUCACCAAAAUUGAAAGCUGUUGACGCACCUUGUUUAGAAAAAUCUCAAAUGGUUAAUGAUGUUGAUCUUUGUGUUCCUGAUACUGAAUUGCAAGGGCUGAAUUUUCCAGCAUCAUUGGAAUUCAAAGCAGUGGAUGACCCAUGUCCAGAAGAAUCUCAAAGUGUCCAUGAUGUUAAUCUUUGUGCUCCUGAUACCUUAGAUUUCUUGCAAGAUGAUACAAAAAAUUCUGCUCCAAUUACCUCUGAUAAAAUUACUUGUGGAGUCAAAGAAGUGUUAAUGGUUACUGAUUUGGUUGUUUCUGAACAUUUGGUGAAUACAUCGUGUCUUGAAGAAGAAGAAGCAGGCACAUCUAAUUCAAAUGUCGGUUCUGAAAAAAGUGAUUUUGAUUCUGUUGGUCAAGAUAUAGCCAAGUCAAUGAUGACAGUUCUGCUUCCCCAAGCUGUUCCUCUGCUCAAAAAAACCUCAAGGAAGAAAAAGAAAACCAUCAGCUCCUCAAAGAAUUUUCCUUCUAUAUGUAAACCUUAUGAAGAAAGUAAUGGAACUGGCUCCUUUAUGAAGGCUCAAUCACCUAAUGUAGAUCACUCGGUUGUACGAAGUUGUGGACAUACCAAUUCUAUUAUUCUGGACAAGUUUGAUGGUGACCAGUGUCAAGAUCAUGUAAUGAACCGAGAAGUAUUUCCCUCCAACAAUGUGGAAGCUGCUCAUCUUAGUUUUGGUGAAGAUGCUUUUUGUCUGAAUGGUGACGAACAGUUUGUUGAGACUAGAUAUAUUUUAUAUCAUGAUGAAGGGCAACUGGGUGAGAGUAAGAUGCCCCUGGAUGGUGAUCUCUUUGUAUCUGAAUCUAACUUAGGUUGCAUGCCUGCCAGCAAGAAAGUUUCCACUCAUGUAAAUCAGUUCUUUUGCAAAAAUCUGGAUGAAGACUCAUCAGGUGCUGAGAUCAAUUCUGAGGAAAAAAUUGUGCCUGAUUGUGAUAAAGGUCUAGGUGCAAGUGCUGCUAGUGUAGAAGCCUUGGGGAGUUCAUUGCAAUUAUCAAGGACGAACACUCUUGUUAAGGAUGGAGCAUCUGAAAUCAGCAAUAUAUCCAGUAGCCAAGUCCCAGAAAAGGUAUACACCAGAAGAAAAGUCCUAAAUGCAGAACCUACAGCAAGAAAGCAUAAUCCUCGGCUUUUAAAAAGUCUAGGGUGCAGAAGACUUUCAGACGUUUGUAUCCUAGAAACUACAGGAACUUUGCUAGACUCAGAGCCCUUCAAUGAUAAAAAUGAGGUCUUUUAUGAAGAUGCUAGGGUUGGAAGGAACCUCCAUGUUUUGCCCACUGACAAAACUGCUGUAAAUUCCAAUCCUGCAUUAGAAAGCCCGGUACAUAUUACAUCAGUUACCCAAGCAAAUAUCUGUGCUUUAGAAGGCCAUGAUACCUCAAAUAUUGUUGUUCCUUCCAUGUCAGAUGUAGAAAAACCCCUGCAUUUUGAAGAGAGGCUGGUGGGGCUUAAGAAUACUCUAGAUAUUAACGGUCUUGGAUCUCAGGAGGAAGGAAAAGGGUUCGAUAAGACAUCCAGUGCCCAGGAAGGUAAUUCAGAAAUAAUGAGACAGUGGAAUUCGGAGCUUACCAAUGAGCUAGACGGCAUUGUUGAAUUUCUGGGAUGCUAUUUCCACCCCAUGCCUGUUUUGUCUCUGUUGGUGAGACGAAAAGGGAAUGAAAUCUACAUUUGUGUUCUAUGCGGUCUUUUGGUAGAGAAGGAUAGAACUCUGUUUCUUUACAAGCUAGCAAUUGAAGGACCAAGAAUAGGAUGCCCAUGCUUUAUUGGUCACACAUCAGUAACCUGGCCGUCUUCAACUGGCAUCUUUGGUAGAGAAAUAUCAUUUGAAAGAUCUGGUUUGCAGCUCACCCCAGAUGGGCAGUGUCUUGUUUUACUGGGCAGCACUAGAGCACCCUGUUGCAGAGAAGGAAGACUAGAAUGUUUGUGCUCAGCAUGUGCAUCAGACUGCUUUGGGAGCAAUGGAGUGAAAAUUGUACAAGUGAAAGCUGGAUAUGUUUCAGUUCUGGUCAAAUUGAAAACAAAUGACAGUUUGCAAUGUAUAUUGGUGUGUGAACCUGAUCAUCUUGUUGCUGCUGGAGAGAAUAGCAGACUUCAUCUCUGGACCAUGAACUCAGUAUGGAGCGCACCAACAGAAGAAUUCACCAUACAGUCUAAUGAUUACACAUACCCAUGCAUAAUGGAGUUGAAGAGAAUUCCAAAAUGCACUUCUCUAGUUAUUGGGCAUGAUGGCUUUGGAGAAUUUACUCUAUGGGAUAUCUCAAAACGUAUAUUUGUUUCUAAAUUCUCUUCUCCAAGCAAUUCAGUUCAUCAAUUCUCUCCAAUCAGUUUGUUUCAUUGGCAAAGAGAAGUUCAUGGUCUCAGUUACUCUAAUGUGGAAGCACACGUUAAUAGACUCAUGGAUGCAACAAAAAUGUUUUCAGGGCACAGCAUAAACCAUUCCCUUCCUCACGAAGAUAUCGCCAUCUGGUUUCUUGUCUCAACUGCCCCUGACUCUGAUGCUCUACAUGACUAUGGUUCAAGUCAUUCCCAGAUAAAUCCAGUUGGAUACUGGAGGCUAGCGCUACUGAUGAAAAAUUCACUGAUAUUGGGAAGUGCAUUGGAUCCAAGGGCUGCUGCUAUCGGUACGUCAGCUGGCCAUGGAAUCAUUGGCACACUUGACGGACUUGUAUAUAUGUGGGAACUUUUGACAGGAAAAAAACUCGGGACUCUGCAUAAAUUUAAAGGUGGAAGUGCGUCGUGCAUUGCUACUGACGAUUCAGGCUCAGGGGUCUUGGCAAUAGCGGAUGAUAAAGCGUCCCUGAUCCUCUUCAUUUUCUGGUUUGCCAACUGCUGAGAGAGUGAUCUGUGGGCUAGAUCCCUAUAAAACGUCCCAUUACUUUGGUCAUAAAUGCAAAGGACAUCGUUAUGGUUGGGAUUUAUCAUUUAUCUAUGCAAAGUGAAUAUCCGAAAAGCAAAUGCUACCGUCAUACGUGGCACAGCAUUUUUAUUGUCAGAUUCGGGUGGGAUGCCCAAAAUCUGUUGAAGAUCUACUUUUGUAUACAAAAUGAUGCUGCAGUCACAAAGGGAUUCAGAAUUUAGAUAAACAAUUUGCCAUAUAGGUGGCUGUGCAAAUGCAGAGACACUUUAAGGCAUCAAAGUAGAAUAAUGCAUUCAAGUCUAAAUUCGAUAUGUUUUUCUUUUUCUUUUCUUUUUAACUGAAAUUCGAUACAUUGAAUGGUUGCUGUUGGGUGAAUUUCUUGUAUCUCGGGUGUGCUUUCUAUUGUAUUCCCUUUAUCAAUUUAUAUAAUGAGAAUUCAACUUAAUGAAGAUUAGAACGGGAAAUACACUUCAAAAAAAAAUCAGAGAUUUCAUUUGAAAUUUAUCCCGCAUUCUAAGAAUCUUAUGCUGAAAUUAUUAGAUGAUGAAAGGUGACGCAUAG
Ricinus communis (castor bean) is the source of this 4662-nucleotide RNA transcript. RefSeq lists it as uncharacterized. NCBI's taxonomy places the organism in Eukaryota, Viridiplantae, Streptophyta, Magnoliopsida, Malpighiales, Euphorbiaceae. The record is from RefSeq and is a predicted model, not a curated record. The transcript is spliced from 15 exons.